UGACAUUCUUGAUCCAUCUUUCUUUGCAAUUGCUCUGUGCUCAACACUCAUGUACUUGUCAUUUGACAUGAGCUGCAGAAAAUCUCCAAUAUUGACGACAAGAGCACCACGUAUAGGAGGAACAUCAAACCAUUGAUUUUGGUGAAGAACUUGGAGUCCACCGAUAUCAUCUUGUAGAAGCACCGUGAUAAACUCAGUGUCGGAAUGUUGACUGAUGCCCAUGGUGAGUUCUGGCUGAG
RNAcentral lists this unclassified non-coding RNA (239 nucleotides) under Hevea brasiliensis (rubber tree). Lineage: Eukaryota; Viridiplantae; Streptophyta; Magnoliopsida; Malpighiales; Euphorbiaceae. The record is from RNAcentral.